AUUGAACGCUGGCGGCAGGCUUAACACAUGCAAGUCGAGCGGGGUGAUGGUGCUUGCACUAUCACUUAGCGGCGGACGGGUGAGUAAUGCUUAGGAAUCUGCCUAUUAGUGGGGGACAACAUCUCGAAAGGGAUGCUAAUACCGCAUACGUCCUACGGGAGAAAGCAGGGGAUCACUUGUGACCUUGCGCUAAUAGAUGAGCCUAAGUCGGAUUAGCUAGUUGGUGGGGUAAAGGCCUACCAAGGCGACGAUCUGUAGCGGGUCGGAGAGGAUGAGCCGCCACCAUGGGACUGAGACACGGCCCAGACUCCUACGGGAGGCAGCAGUGGGGAAUAUUGGACAAUGGGGGGAACCCUGAUCCAGCCAUGCCGCGUGUGUGAAGAAGGCCUUAUGGUUGUAAAGCACUUUAAGCGAGGAGGAGGCUCUUUUGGUUAAUACCCAAGAUGAGUGGACGUUACUCGCAGAAUAAGCACCGGCUAACUCUGUGCCAGCCGCCGCGGUAA
Molecule: ribosomal RNA, 503 nt
Filed under: uncultured bacterium
Lineage: Bacteria
Description: partial 16S ribosomal RNA
Rfam family: Bacterial small subunit ribosomal RNA
Source: RNAcentral